CGCUCGGCCGGGGAACAAAGAGCGGCGGCUGAGCGGCGGGGCGGCGCGCUGCGGCGGCGGCGGGACUGGUAUGGUGGUUCCACAGGGCAGAGCGCGCUGCACUCACCGGGAGGAGGCGGCGGCCCCGGCGGAGGAGGGCGGCGCACCCGCAGAGGCAUGCCCAAAGAAAAAUACGAGCCCCCUGACCCUCGGAGGAUGUACACAAUUAUGUCCUCUGAGGAAGCAGCAAAUGGAAAGAAAUCACAUUGGGCAGAGCUUGAAAUAAGUGGAAAAGUAAGAAGCUUAAGCUCAUCUUUGUGGUCACUAACUCACUUGACAGCUUUGCAUCUGAGUGACAAUUCCCUGUCCCGCAUUCCUUCAGACAUUGCCAAACUUCACAAUCUGGUGUAUCUGGACCUGUCCUCUAACAAAAUCCGGAGUUUACCGGCGGAACUCGGAAACAUGGUAUCACUCAGGGAACUCCAUUUAAAUAACAACCUGUUACGAGUUCUACCCUUUGAGCUGGGAAAACUGUUUCAGUUGCAGACUUUAGGCCUGAAAGGAAAUCCACUUACCCAGGAUAUAUUGAACCUCUAUCUGGAACCAGAUGGAACAAGAAGGCUACUGAACUAUUUGCUUGAUAAUUUGGCAGGUACUGCAAAAAGAAUUUCAACAGAACAACCACCUCCAAGAUCUUGGAUUAUGUUACGAGAACCAGACAGAACAAGGCCAACUGCCUUGUUUUCUGUCAUGUGCUAUAAUGUUCUUUGUGAUAAAUAUGCCACCCGGCAGUUAUACGGCUAUUGUCCAUCAUGGGCACUAAAUUGGGAGUACAGGAAAAAGGCCAUUAUUCAAGAAAUCUUGAGCUGCAAUGCUGAUAUCAUAAGUCUUCAGGAGGUUGAAACAGAACAGUAUUACAGUUUUUUUCUGGUAGAACUGAAAGAACGUGGCUAUAAUGGAUUCUUUAGUCCUAAAUCUAGAGCUAGGACAAUGUCAGAACAAGAGAGAAAACAUGUUGAUGGCUGUGCAAUAUUCUUCAAGACAGAAAAAUUUACUUUGGUUCAGAAACACACUGUUGAAUUUAAUCAGCUAGCGAUGGCAAAUUCAGAAGGGUCUGAAGCUAUGCUGAACAGAGUCAUGACAAAAGAUAACAUUGGAGUUGCAGUACUGCUAGAACUUCGAAGGGAAUUGAUUGAAAUGUCAUCUGGAAAGCCACAUCUUGGACCAGAAAAACAACUUAUUCUCGUGGCUAAUGCUCAUAUGCAUUGGGACCCUGAAUACUCUGAUGUGAAGUUGGUUCAAACAAUGAUGUUCCUCUCAGAAGUGAAGAAUAUUAUUGAUAAAGCCUCACGAAGCCUCCAGUCCGGUGUAUUGGGAGAAUUUGGAACUAUUCCACUGGUGUUGUGUGCAGAUCUUAAUUCUUUGCCAGACUCUGGUGUUGUAGAAUAUUUGAGCACUGGUGGAGUAGAAACAAACCAUAAAGACUUUAAGGAACUGAGAUAUAAUGAAAGUCUCACAAACUUCAGCUGUAAUGGGAAAAACGGGACAACCAAUGGCAGGAUCACUCAUGGUUUCAAGUUAAAGAGUGCCUACGAGAGUGGCUUGAUGCCUUACACAAACUACACAUUUGACUUCAAGGGUAUAAUUGACUACAUCUUCUAUUCUAAACCUCAGCUGAACACUUUAGGCAUCCUGGGACCUCUGGACCACCAUUGGCUAGUUGAGAAUAAUAUCAGCGGCUGCCCACACCCACUCAUCCCCUCUGAUCACUUCUCACUUUUUGCACAACUGGAGCUCUUACUGCCUUUCCUGCCCCAAGUUAAUGGCAUUCACCUUCCUGGCAGGAGGUAGUCAAGUGUCUUCAGAGGACGACCUCAAUUUUAUUUGUAAAGUCAUAAAAAAUCUGAAUAUAGGAGAGUGAGGUAUGGCCACUAGGGUUUUUUUUUUUCCUUAAUGAUGAUUUGAGUUUUCAAUCUGAUUAUUUGAUAAGGAUAUAGUAUGAAAGCCAGGUGCUAGCAACAGACAAAUUCUGAGCCCAGUAUGCUUUAUAUACUGUUAGACAGGGAUUGGUGUCUUUGCACCUAUCUUUAAUUUGUUACAAGUAAUUUUCCCGUUUCUUCUAUUCAAUAUAAUAUUUUCAUGCCUUGACAUAGGAAAAUGUUUGAACAGCAUAUUCUCUUUGCACAGAAAUCCAUAGCACUACUUUUUUGAGGCCAGUAAUAACAUCCAGAGACCGUUCUUCCAUACUUUACUCCCUCCUUUUUCAGACUUGUUUAUAAAAUAAAUAAUUUGAAUUUAGCCUUUAUGAUUGUAUAUAAUCCACAGAAGACCUGAUUUAUGAAAUUUUGUACUAAAAAAAAUCAGAUUUGCAAAUGACUGUAUUAUAAACUAAGGCUAAGGUUUUUUUACCUGUUUCGUGUGUUAUAAAGGCCAGCUUGUAAAAGAAGUUGCAACAGACUUUCUCUGCUGAUGAUUUGCACUGUUAGGGUUUUGUUAGCCCUUUUGUACUACUUUAUUUUUAAGUUGAGAACAUUGCUCUCUAAAUCUGUUUUUUCUUGGACCAGAGACAACUUAUCUAUGAAUUCCUGGGUUGUUAUGAAAACUAUCUACCAGGAGAGAUAAGAAAAAAUUCUCCAGGUUUUGAUCUUGAAUCUUUGUCUGGGACCUGGUUUUUCCUUUGAGGUUUUUUUAAGAUUUUGUUGUGAUGGGUUUUUUUUUAUUUUUUGCUUUUGUUUAAGUUGUGCUGACACCAAACACAUCCAUUGAUAAUCAGUACAUUGGAAAGCUGGUAUUACUGAUGUAGAACCAAUGCAUAACUUUUUAUGGGGUUUUGGGGUUUUUUUUUUUUUGUAAAGUGUGAAUAAAAGGUGCGUUUACUCAUUUUUCCUAAACACUGUGUUGGUAAUGUGCAUCAUGACAAUUUCUAGCGAGGGUGAGCUGGAGCUGGUUGGACUGAGGAGAUGAAGGAAGCCGCUUUUCCUGUGAUCUGCAUUAUGUCAGAACAGGUCUGAGAGCUUUAUGGAAGGGGAGGGGAGAAGCACUUACUCAUUGUAUGUUUAUGAAUGGAGGGUGUAUUCUUUUCAUAGAUGCUGGAACUAGAGUGCGCUUGUUAGAUGCUAAAGGUUUGAGCUUUACACAAAAUGUUUUCAUCUGUAUUGAUGUUGUCUACAAUAUAUUUGAAUUUGGGGGCAACAUAAUGAGAUAUAAUGGCCUGUUAUGUCUUGAAAAUAUUUGUUCUUGCCUCUUCUAGGCAUACUGUGUUUUGUGGGUCAGUUUGAGCAGCUUCUCUACCUUAUUGAGAUAGUGAUAAAUUGAACCAAGAGUGUAGAUUUACAACUGUAACCUUCAAAAGAGAAAGAAAUAUUCUGGGCCUGUAGGGAAUAAAUGGUCACCCCAAAAUGACUAUGAUACUUUUGUUAAGCAAGAUUUUGUGUUUUAACUGUUUUCUGUGUGUCCUGAAUAAUUUCCAAUAAUCCAUACUCCCUAAAAUGCAAUAAAAUCUAGUAUGUUUUCACAGCAUAGAUUUUUUUCAAAAAUUCUGUAACAAAUAUAUUUAAUGUGGUGUUGCCAUAAUGUAAUUUCAGUGUUCUUGCUGGACAAAUCCAUCUUAUGGAUGUUUUACAGAAGAUUUGGGGUAUGUUUUCUCUUUUAAUGAUUAGAAAUUUGGAGGCACUCAAUCCUUGUUGUAAAUCUCUUGAAGUACCAUUUACCAUAUUAGUGGUAAUUAUUUAUACUUUGAGAAUUUAAAUAAUGCUCAUCAAAAUUAAUUUAUGGCAUAAUUUAAACUAAAGUUCUAGAAAUAAAAUGUUGAUUGCAACUUUAAUAGCCCUAGAAGAUAGACAAGGAACAUCUCCAAGAAACUUGUUUUUAUUUUUAUUUGAUUUGGUUACAGCCAGGAAAACUUGAGUUAGCACUUUGAAACCUAAGGACAUUAUUAAAUUGGGUGGAAUGCACUUCUAAAUAUUGAAAUUAAAAUUUCAAAGCUCUUCUAAGGUUCAGGUUUUCAAUAAUAAAUUCCAGUUUUAGUAUUGCGUUUUUUACUAUUUAAACUCAUGGGAUUCGUUUCCAUAGUGACUUUUAAGAUUUUGGAGUCAUGUCAUAUCAGGACAAAAGCCAACCCAGGCAAAACAAUUACAGCAGUUUGUUCCUUUAAUGAACCAGUCAGAAUAUCCAGUAGAAAUGCUACAGAUGAUUCCAAGAACACUUUUAGCAAGUGUUUCUCCCCUACUUGUAAACAGUAUGUUAAGAUGUUCACUUUGCUCUUCCUUUUGGUUACAUAAAUUUUAAUAACCGGUGUGAUGAAGUCGUGUCUAAAAUAGAAUAUCUAGUCUUAUUCACAGUACGUUAUAUUGUGUAAUGCACUGGACUAACUUUUGUUUACCAUUCGUGUAUCAAAACCCAGCACAUUAUCUGCACUAAGCUCAAAGAAUGUCGCAUUUGCCUGGGCAGCUCUUUGAUAAGGGUAUGGGAGACUGACUAUGUACCCAUGGACUGGUGGUAACAAGGGCUUUUACUGUUAUUUUCAGUGGAACCUUCUUGGUCAAAUUGUAACUAGCUAGUAUUAUAUUUAUAUACAGGGUCUCUUUUCUUUACCGAUGUAUUUUCCUACUCAUAGCCAACCAAUAAAUUCAAUAUCUGUUUCAAAUA
Diceros bicornis minor is the source of this 4626-nucleotide RNA transcript. It is a transcript of the gene named CCR4-NOT transcription complex subunit 6, with no coding region annotated. Lineage: Eukaryota; Metazoa; Chordata; Mammalia; Perissodactyla; Rhinocerotidae. The transcript is spliced from 13 exons. The record is from RefSeq and is a predicted model, not a curated record.